AGCGAACGCUGGCGGCAGGCCUAACACAUGCAAGUCGAACGAACUCUUCGGAGUUAGUGGCGGACGGGUGAGGAACACGUGGGAACGUGCCUUUAGGUUCGGAAUAACUCAGGGAAACUUGUGCUAAUACCGAAUGUGCCCUUCGGGGGAAAGAUUUAUCGCCUUUAGAGCGGCCCGCGUCUGUUUAGCUAGUUGGUGAGGGAAAGGCUCACCAAGGCGACGAUCGGUAGCUGGUGUGUGAGGAGGCUCAGCCACAUUGGGACUGAGACCCGGCCCAAACUCCUACGGGAGGCAGCAGUGGGGAAUCUUGCGCAAUGGGCGAAAGCCUGACGCAGCCAUGCCGCGUGAAUGAUGAAGGUCUUAGGGCUGUAAAAUUCUUUCACCGGGGACGAUAAUGACGGUACUCGGAGAAGAAGCCCCGGCUAACUUCGUG
RNAcentral lists this ribosomal RNA (433 nucleotides) under uncultured bacterium. Its description in RNAcentral is "partial 16S ribosomal RNA". It matches the Rfam family "Bacterial small subunit ribosomal RNA", at positions 29 to 507 of the family's 1533-position model. The record is from RNAcentral.